This 190-nucleotide small nuclear RNA is filed under the name Penicillium coprophilum. Its description in RNAcentral is "U2 spliceosomal RNA". It matches the Rfam family "U2 spliceosomal RNA". From Rfam's summary of the family: U2 is a small nuclear RNA (snRNA) component of the spliceosome (involved in pre-mRNA splicing). Complementary binding between U2 snRNA (in an area lying towards the 5' end but 3' to hairpin I) and the branchpoint sequence (BPS) of the intron results the bulging out of an unpaired adenosine, on the BPS, which initiates a nucleophilic attack at the intronic 5' splice site, thus starting the first of two transesterification reactions that mediate splicing. Lineage: Eukaryota; Fungi; Ascomycota; Eurotiomycetes; Eurotiales; Aspergillaceae. The record is from Rfam by way of RNAcentral.
CCAGCUCUCUUUGCCUUUUGGCUCAGAUCAAGCGUAGUAACUGUUCUUGUUAGCUUAAUCGCUAGCAGUCCUGCCACCACAGGACCUUCUGAUUAUCAAUAUUUGGACCUCGCAAGUGGCCUCUGUGCUUGCAUAUGUCUCUUGCACUGUGUCACUGGGCUCACACUACCCCCGGUCGACGCGACUUUUU